This 234-nucleotide ribosomal RNA is filed under the name uncultured bacterium. Its description in RNAcentral is "partial 16S ribosomal RNA". It matches the Rfam family "Bacterial small subunit ribosomal RNA", at positions 118 to 350 of the family's 1533-position model. The record is from RNAcentral.
UGAGUAACCUGCCCUUCACUCUGGGAUAACUCCGGGAAACCGGGGCUAAUACUGGAUAUGGCUCGAACAGGCAUCUGUUUCGGGUGGAAAGAUUUACUGGUGGAGGAUGGACUCGCGGCCUAUCAGCUUGUUGGUGAGGUAAUGGCUCACCAAGGCGACGACGGGUAGCCGGCCUGAGAGGGCGAUCGGCCAUACUGGGACUGAGACACGGCCCAGACUCCCGUACGGGAGGCA